RNAcentral lists this ribosomal RNA (520 nucleotides) under uncultured Acaulospora. RNAcentral's name for it is "SSU rRNA". It matches the Rfam family "Eukaryotic small subunit ribosomal RNA", at positions 569 to 1087 of the family's 1831-position model. Lineage: Eukaryota; Fungi; Glomeromycota; Glomeromycetes; Diversisporales; Acaulosporaceae. The record is from RNAcentral.
AGCAGCCGCGGUAAUUCCAGCUCCAAUAGCGUAUAUUAAAGUUGUUGCAGUUAAAAAGCUCGUAGUUGAAUUUCGGGGUUUGUCAGUUGGUCGGGCUUCACUGUCCGCACUGAUUUGAUGGAUCCCUACCUUCUGAAUAACCAGCAUGCUAUUAAGUUAGUGCGUUGGGGAAGCAGAUCUAUUACCUUGAAAAAAUUAGAGUGCUUAAAGCAGGCUAGUGCUUGAAUAGAUUAGCAUGGAAUAAUAAAAUAGGACGGCAUGGUUCUAUUUUGUUGGUUUCUAGGAUCACCGUAAUGAUUAAUAGGGAUAGUUGGGGGCAUUAGUAUUCAAUUGUCAGAGGUGAAAUUCUUGGAUUUAUUGAAGACUAAACUUCUGCGAAAGCAUUUGCCAAGGAUGUUUUCAUUAAUCAAGAACGAAAGUUAGGGGAUCGAAGACGAUCAGAUACCGUCGUAGUCUUAACCAUAAACUAUGCCGACUAGGAAUCGGACGAUGUUAAUUUUUUAAUGACUCGUUCGGCUAC